CCUACGGGUGGCAGCAGUGAGGCAUAUUGGUCAAUGGACGCAAGUCUGAACCAGCCAUUCCGCGUGCAGGAAGACGGCUCUAUGAGUUGUACACUGCUUUUGUACGAGGGUAAACGCAGAUACGCGUGUCUGUCUGAAAGUAUCGUACGAAUAAGGAUCGGCUAACUCCGUGCCAACAGCCGCGGUAAUACGGAGGAUUCAAGCGUUAUCCGGAUUUAUUGGGUUUAAAGGGUGCGUAGGCGGUCGGAUAAGUUAGAGGUGAAAUCCCGAGGCUCAACUUCGGAAUUGCCUCUGAUACUGUUCGGCGAGAGAGUAGUUGCGGUAGGCGGAAUGUAUGGUGUAGCGGUGAAAUGCUUAGAGAUCAUACAGAACACCGAUUGCGAAGGCAGCUUACCAAGCUACUUCUGACGUUGAGGCACGAAAGCGUGGGGAGCAAACAGGAUUAGAUACCCCAGUAGUC
This 460-nucleotide ribosomal RNA is filed under the name uncultured bacterium. RNAcentral describes it as "partial 16S ribosomal RNA". It matches the Rfam family "Bacterial small subunit ribosomal RNA", at positions 338 to 795 of the family's 1533-position model. The record is from RNAcentral.